UGGGCUUCACGCAUGCUACAAUGNCCGGUACAAAGGNCUGCAAUACCGCGAGGUGGAGCGAAUCCCAAAAAACCGGUCCCAGUUCGGAUUGAGGUCUGCAACUCGNCCUCAUGAAGUCGGAGUCGCUAGUAAUCGCAGAUCAGCAACGCUGCGGUGAAUACGUUCCCGGGUCUUGUACACACCGCCCGUCAAGUCAUGAAAGUCGGUAACACCUGAAGCCGGUGGCCCAACCCUUGUGGAGGGAGCCGUCGAAGGUGGGAUCGGUAAUUAGG
RNAcentral lists this ribosomal RNA (272 nucleotides) under Microbacterium sp. RNAcentral's name for it is "partial 16S ribosomal RNA". It matches the Rfam family "Bacterial small subunit ribosomal RNA", at positions 1210 to 1479 of the family's 1533-position model. The record is from RNAcentral. Lineage: Bacteria; Bacillati; Actinomycetota; Actinomycetes; Micrococcales; Microbacteriaceae.